Bufo bufo (common toad) is the source of this 416-nucleotide long non-coding RNA. RefSeq lists it as uncharacterized. NCBI's taxonomy places the organism in Eukaryota, Metazoa, Chordata, Amphibia, Anura, Bufonidae. The record is from RefSeq and is a predicted model, not a curated record. The transcript is spliced from 5 exons.
CUUUCCGGUUUAGUUACGUUUACUAGUUAUUCUUGUUAUUAAUUUUUACUAUUUGAAAAGUUAUUUUAUAUGUGCAGCUCAACAAUGAAGUAGAGGAUAUGCGGUAUCAACUCGACAUCAAGAAUUUAUAAGACUUUUUUGGACAGGUGGACAGCCGGCGCGUGGUAGGAAAGCUCUCUAGCCGUGGAGUGUGAUUUGUAUCAGCGUCUCCACGGUGGAGAACCAGUACCAACCCAUUCUUGACACGACCUGGACUCAAGACAGCGGACAACAUACUUUUUUGGACAGGUGGACAGCCGGCGCGUGGUAGGAAAGCUCUCUAGCCGUGGAGUGUGAUUUGUAUCAGCGUCUCCACGGUGGAGAACCAGUACCAACCCAUUCUUGACACGACCUGGACUCAAGACAGCAGACAACAU